RNAcentral lists this ribosomal RNA (245 nucleotides) under uncultured Hyphomonadaceae bacterium. RNAcentral describes it as "partial 16S ribosomal RNA". It matches the Rfam family "Bacterial small subunit ribosomal RNA", at positions 524 to 768 of the family's 1533-position model. The record is from RNAcentral. Lineage: Bacteria; Pseudomonadati; Pseudomonadota; Alphaproteobacteria; Hyphomonadales; Hyphomonadaceae.
UACGGAGGGGGCUAGCGUUGUUCGGAAUUACUGGGCGUAAAGCGCGCGUAGGCGGACCAGCCAGUCAGAGGUGAAAGCCCGGAGCUCAACUUCGGAACUGCCUUUGAUACUGUUGGUCUGGAGUACGGUAGAGGUGUGUGGAAUUCCGAGUGUAGAGGUGAAAUUCGUAGAUAUUCGGAGGAACACCAGAGGCGAAGGCGACACACUGGACCGUUACUGACGCUGAGGCGCGAAAGCGUGGGGAG